RNAcentral lists this long non-coding RNA (4314 nucleotides) under Sus scrofa (pig). RNAcentral describes it as "lncRNA (ENSSSCG00000058600.1)". Lineage: Eukaryota; Metazoa; Chordata; Mammalia; Artiodactyla; Suidae. The record is from RNAcentral.
GGCAUAUGGAGGUUCCCAGGCUAGGGGUUGAACUAGAGCUGUAGCUGCCAGCCUGAGCCACAGCCACAGCAACAUGAGAUCCGAGUUGCAUUUGCAGCCUACACCAGAGCUCACAGCAACACCGGAUCCUUAACCCACUGAGCAAGGCCAGGGAUCGAGAAUCUUGUGUUCUCAUGGAUGCCAGUCAGAUUGGUUUCCACUGAGCCACGAUGGGAACUCCCUCCCCAUUAAUUUUUGAUGCCACCUUUAAUAAGCAUGACAUUUUCACAAUUUAAGUUCUCUGUGCUUUUAUUCUUUACUAUGGGUCUCUCAUCUGUUUGAAAUAUUCAAAAUAAGUUGAAUGAACACAUUUUUAUUUUACAAAAGUAUGACUAAUUCUACAAAAUUAUGUAUUUUAUAAAAGUAUGGCUUGUACGUAAUUUUACAAAGUAUGGAUAUUUAUAACUAUAAUUUUAUAAAAAGUAUAGAGUGUGCUAGGAUAUCUUUAUUCCUCCAUGUACAUUUUGGGUUUGCUUAUCUUAUUUAUCCUUGUAUUUCCUAUUAUGUAGCAUCAUGCCUGGGACAAAACAGGCCAUGGUAUUAUUUUUGUACAUAAAGAAAUUAUUAAAUUACAUUGAUACAGGAAUGUAAAAAAGUGCUAGGUGAGCAGAGAGGACAAAGACCAAAUGGAAGAUGAGAGAAACUAGACUGGAACCAAGGCUUCUGGCUUAGGCGUAAACAGCUUAGCUCUAAAGGCAAAUAGGUGAACAUAUAGCCACUGGAAUAUAGUCCAUUUAUAUAAUUCUCUAGCAAAUCUGCUUUGCCAUCUGUCUUGGUCUCUAAAUAACUUGGAGUUCAAGAGUUUACAGGGGGUUGCACUCAAGCUCAACUUUUUUGGUAGAUGGUUAUGGGGCACUGAACUUACUCUCCAAAAGCAGAAACAAACCAAACAGGGGUGACGUCCUGUUCACCGCCGUUCACCUCUCCUUGCAACUGCCCUGACAGUCUCUCAUUAUUGAUACAAUGAUGCCCAGAAGAUGGUUCAUGGAAAUUCUCAUCCCCUGCUAGGCUGCCCCAGUUUUAUAAAGUGAAAAUCUGGUGGGCUGACUCUACGGGGGAAAAAAAGGCCACCAGGAAAAAAGAAAGGGGGCUGUUUAAAAAAGACAGCAGCUGCUAUGAUGCUGCAUUAAUGCAGACACAGCAGAGUGAAGACAGGAGGUCUAUUUUGCGCUUUGUUUCUCUUCUUUUGCUUUUCUCCCCCCCCUUACUCCUUUGGUGAUGAUAUCACGAGAGUUAAUAGAAACACUGCAGUGGAAUUUUCUGAACAAAGAAAUGGUUACCCUCCUUAAUUAGCUCAAUUCCAGUGCAAUUCUCCUUCCAAAGUAGGAGCAUUUUGCAGCCACCUUCUCCUCCCUAAAUUCAUCUCCAUCUCCCAGCACCCUUUCCAAACAACAUCACUAGUCUAAUGUCUGGAAGGCACCAAUGAAACCAGGUAAAACAGCAUUAACUAGGAUUUCCGAAUUCUGAAAUUGUGACCUAUACAGGUAUGAAUGUGAAAUUUUUCUGUACUAACAAGGUGUAUAUUUAUUUACAUGUUAUGGCAAAUAAUAUUAAACUACUUUUAAAAAGCUAUUCUCAAGCACCUUAAAUACUUUAGGUAUCCUCAUUAAUAUUUACAAGGCUUAUACCUUAUAGCCAGAAGAAAUCAUAAAGAUAAUUUUAUAUAACAUUUAUCUCACAGAGGAGGAACCUAAACCUUAGAAAGGGGUAGAGACUUGAAGUGACCAUUUCAAAGCCUACGUAAAGAUUUCUACUAAGCAAAUUUCCAUUAGCUUAAUCCAAAUGCAAUUCCAAAACCACCUUAGAAAUUAGAAGUAGAAAGUUCACAGGUUUCCAAUGUACUGAUGAAUGUUUUUUACCUUGGCUGUAAUCAGACACAUCCCUUCUAACUCAAUGCUACAUUUGUAACGUUAACAUCAUUUACUCUCGCCUUUUUAUUUAGUUGAGGAAAUAGUUAACCGACUGAUGAUAUGACCGUAAAAAAAAACUAAACAGGGUGGGAAAGUAGGUUCUUAUGGAAUAUGAGCUAUGGAUCCACCACCAAAUGAAUGAUCACGCAAAGAAUAUCAAAUUCACAAAUACAUUCUCAUUUGAAGUAAAAGUAUUCAAUAUAAGGGCUAUUUUGCAAAGACAGAAAAUAUUGCUGAUCCAUGAUUACUGAACACACACGAGGAUAAUUAUUGCCUUUUACUAUGCUCUCUAUCCACCUUAAAACAAUUGAACCUAUAGAUUGAAAAAAAUGUUCAUUGAAGCUGAGGUCGUUCUGGAGUGAGCCACAAGGAAAUUCCUCAAAAUACAACAUUAAAGAAAAAAAAAAGCAUAGCUUAAACUAACACAAUUCAAAUGAUUCUACUUGUAUGUCUAUUAAACACUUCUUAUCAUGAGCAUGAAAAAAAGUUACACAAGAAAAUCUUGGUAAAAAUCAUUUGGAGUGAACCAGUUCCGAAAUAAACUCCUAAUUUUUUGCCAAAAUAAUUUUCUCACUAAAGAAGGAUACUCUCCAGAUAUAUAAAGACUAUAUAGUAAGCAGAUACUGGUUAGUCUCAAAACAAUUGCAAAGCCUGGCAGCUUGUCAAAUAUGGCGUCCUUGUCUGAAAAAAUUAGCUGUAAUUAAUAAGUAUCAUUAGCAACGGGAAAGUCACUUUUCCAAGAUAUUAAUAGAUGUAAAGUACCUUUCUCCUGCCCAUGAAUUGCCACACAACUCUUUCAGGUCCUCCUCUAAUACUGAACAGAAGUUAAGGGGGGAUGCAAGUGGAGCUAGGGGCUUGAGGGUAGGGAGAGGAGCAGUAACCACAUCAAAAGCCCUAUUAAAAAAAAAAAUCAAGACCCCCCCCCGAAAGCCCUUAUUUAUCUAGGUUUCCCAUCAUUAUCACAAACCUUGUGCUGCCAUUUUCCCCUCUCAAAAAAAAAAAAAAGUUAGGGAUUAAUUUUAUUACAUAGCUCAAGGAAAAGAAUACCUGACCGUAAUUAUAAUCUACUGUUAAGGAAGCCAGAUGUGAACCACACAAACAUCUGAAAGGAGGAUUAAAAAGUUAUGGACACAUUCGAGCAAGCAUUUCAAGGGGAAUGAAGAUUUCUUGCAUAAAUCUAAUAGGAAAGAUGUGCUGUGAGCCAUCUGGUAAGUGCCUUAUACAGCCCCAUACAUUAGCAUCUGUUGUCAUGUUUUCAAAGUUCAGAAUUUCAACACUGUGCUGAUGAGUCUUCUGAAUGCAGUGAGUUGGCUGGGAUGGAUUGAAAAAAAAAAUCCUAAAGAAAGGGUUUGGACUUGACCUUUAAAUAAAAUUCUGGAUGAUGUUUUCGGGGUUAAGAUAAGUGCUGUCUCUAUUAUACGCUUAUUCGGGCCUCAGAACCAUUGUAAGGGUAGGAAGACAUGAUGAUGAUAAUGGCCAUUUUACAGAUGAAGUAACUGAGAUUCAUGGACUCUUGCAAGGUUGCCUGGGUGGCAGCUGCAUGGUCAGGACUAUAGAUUCCUAGAUCUCUUCACCUUCUGAGAUGAUCUGUAGGCUUUGAACCAGAAUACAGGUGUUGCAGGUGUUAGGGCUAUGAGAGCAACAACCCUCUCUCGGCUUCCCAGAUUGCUCAUGAACUAGCAUAGACUCCUUGAGAGAAAGGACUGAGGAUUCGAAGGGCAAGGCACACACAGCGCCCUUCCUCCUUACAGCAGUGAACCCUUGUUGAAUAAAUGAAUUAAGAAUGGAUCAGGAAGAUGAGGUACAUAGACACAAUGGAAUGCAACUCAGCCCUGAAAAAGAAUGAAACGAUGCCAUUGGCAGCAACAUGGAUGGACCUAGAGAUGAUCAUACUAAGUAAGUCAGACAAAGACAAAUAUCAUAGGAUAUCACGUAUACAUGGAAUCUAAAAAAAUUAUACAAAUCAACUUACUUACCAAAUAGAAAUAGAUUCAUAGGCAUAGAAACCCAACUUAUGGUUACCAAAGGGAUAGCAGGCGAUGGGGAGAUAAUUUAGGAGUUCUGGAUUAUCAUACACACCCUACUGUAUAUAAAACAGGUCAACAACAAGGACCUACUGUGUAGCACAGGGAACUGUACUCAAUAUCUUAUAAUAAACUAUAUUGAAAAAGAAUCUGAAAAAGAACAUAUAUAAAUAAAACUGAAUCACUUUGCUGUACACCUGAAAUUAACAAAACAUUCUAAAUUAACUAUAUUUCAACUAAAAAAAAAAAAAAAGUAUGCCAGGCAACUCCUAGUACCUAGAAAAUACUCAGCCUCAACAACAUGAUAGAUGCUGAGAUAAGCAAACAAAAUACAUAUUUUU